ACGCCGAUGGCGAAGGCAGCCACCUGGUCCACCCGUGACGCUUU
Molecule: ribosomal RNA, 44 nt
Filed under: synthetic construct
Source: RNAcentral